This 1612-nucleotide long non-coding RNA is filed under the name Vombatus ursinus (common wombat). RNAcentral describes it as "lncRNA (ENSVURG00010012969.1)". Lineage: Eukaryota; Metazoa; Chordata; Mammalia; Diprotodontia; Vombatidae. The record is from RNAcentral.
UUUAGGAACAAGGAGGCAAAAGCCUUUGGAGAGCUGUAUGCUUUGUUCUCUGUUCUUAGGGAACCCUUCAGUGGGUGAAGAGCAAGGUGUCAUCUCCUCCCCAAGCUCUUCACCUGACAGCAAGCAGAAGAAAAUCGCAAGAGAGAGCAGUCAGGGAGUGGCCAGAUUCAAUAACAUCUGGGAGCUGAAGCUGCACCAAGAAGAUGACCUGAGCUUGGAAGCCUCGUGCCUAGAGCAGUACUGGGAAGCAGCUGGUGAGGCUUAUGCUGAGGUGGCCAAGGACCAAAGUUCUCAAGAUUCUAGGGGAACUGAGCCAGAGUUGUCCUUCCCUUUUGUCUGGCCUGACGAGGCCCCAUGCCCCUCAAGGCCAGAAUCCCGUAAUCACUACCAACCCUUCAAGCAUUUGGGGAAGGCAAAGCAAUUAGGUCCCAGACGGAACAAUGAAGAGUCCUGUGUUCCAGAAACAGGGAUGGAUUGUGCCGGCCGCACCGUGCACUCUCCUCCUAUAAGGAGCAGGCUGCCAGGGUCAUACUAUUUACCAGUCUUUGGAGCCUACCCGGAUAAACACACAGAGACGAGCCCAUCGGGAGGUGCCAACACUGGAGCUUUAUUCAGAGGCCAUCACAGCAAGGCCAAGCAGGAAGGCCAUAGCAAGAGAGCAGGAGCAAAGAGAGAGCGAGCUCCGACCACUACCGUUCCUUAAGUACCUACUUAGCCCCUCCUCCUCAGCCCACCUACUAGUCAUUGAUUGUAGGAUCAGAUACCGGAAGGGGAUGUCUGGGUUUAGCGCACCAAGGGAGAGGAAGUGACGCAGGAGGCUAGGACCAGAUACAGGAAGGAGGCGUCUGGGAUUAGCACAUAGACAAAGGGAGAGUAUGUGACCUAGGAAGUCAGGCCCAGAUACCGGGAGGAGGCGUCUGGGGUCAGUGCUACACAAAGGGAAAGUACGUGACCCAGGAAGUCAGGAAGGACACAGGAACGAGGUGUCUGGGGUUGACAUUGCACUUAGGGAGGGGGCUAGACAAAGGAACUCGUUCUCUGCCGUCCCACUCCCACGUGGCACAGCCCCCUGCCUCAGGAGCACGUGCUCCGGCUACUUCCUUGUAUUCUGUUCCUUCCCCAGCUAUCACAGCUCCACAUAGCACUGCCCACUGCCUCAGGAGCGUGAGCUCUGGUUACUUCUCCGUAUCCAGUUCCCAUCCCAGUUCACCACAACUCCGCCUAGCACAGCCCGAGCUCUGGUCACUUCCUGAUAUCUUGUUCCUACCCCAUCUUGCCACAACCGUCACUUGGCAGUAGCCAACAUCAGACAGUCCCUCACAAUGGAUGAUGAAUCUGAUAGAGAGCAGACCAGUGAGGAGCGCAGACUCAUGGAGAUGGAACUGGGCAAAUGCAUUGAGGAUUUUCGCAAAAUCAAGAUCCCUUGCACUUUCCCUAACAAAAAAGACCAUGGCAGAGUGAACUUCUCCAAAAAUACCACAUCUGAGGACAGAGGGAAACCUCAGUGCCUGCUACCACCAAUCCCAUGCCAAUCCAAUCUGCUGCCAUGAUGAAGGCCCUUGGAAUCAUCCGCCUCUCUUUUCAGUGUCUUCAUGAUGGGGGUGGGGUGGGG